RNAcentral lists this ribosomal RNA (465 nucleotides) under uncultured bacterium. RNAcentral describes it as "partial 16S ribosomal RNA". It matches the Rfam family "Bacterial small subunit ribosomal RNA", at positions 28 to 507 of the family's 1533-position model. The record is from RNAcentral.
GACGAACGCUGGCGGCGUGCUUAACACAUGCAAGUCGAACGGAAAGGCCCUGCUUGCAGGGUACUCGAGUGGCGAACGGGUGAGUAACACGUGGGUGAUCUGCCCUGCACUUCGGGAUAAGCCUGGGAAACUGGGUCUAAUACCGGAUAGGAGCCAUUUUUAGUGUGAUGGUUGGAAAGUUUUUUCGGUGUAGGAUGAGCUCGCGGCCUAUCAGCUUGUUGGUGGGGUAAUGGCCUACCAAGGCGGCGACGGGUAGCCGGCCUGAGAGGGUGGACGGCCACAUUGGGACUGAGAUACGGCCCAGACUCCUACGGGAGGCAGCAGUGGGGAAUAUUGCACAAUGGGCGCAAGCCUGAUGCAGCGACGCCGCGUGGGGGAUGACGGCCUUCGGGUUUUAAACUCCUUUCGCUAGGGACGAAGCUUUUUGUGACGGUACCUAGAUAAGAAGCACCGGCUAACUACGUG